Molecule: ribosomal RNA, 584 nt
Filed under: Salmonella enterica subsp. enterica serovar Typhimurium
Lineage: Bacteria; Pseudomonadati; Pseudomonadota; Gammaproteobacteria; Enterobacterales; Enterobacteriaceae
Description: partial 23S ribosomal RNA
Rfam family: Bacterial large subunit ribosomal RNA
Source: RNAcentral
GGGUUGUGAGGUUAAGCGACUAAGCGUACACGGUGGAUGCCCUGGCAGUCAGAGGCGAUGAAGGGCGUGCUAAUCUGCGAUAAGCGCCGGUAAGGUGAUAUGAACCGUUAUAACCGGCGAUACCCGAAUGGGGAAACCCAGUGUGAUUCGUCACACUAUCAUUAACUGAAUCCAUAGGUUAAUGAGGCGAACCGGGGGAACUGAAACAUCUAAGUACCCCGAGGAAAAGAAAUCAACCGAGAUUCCCCCAGUAGCGGCGAGCGAACGGGGAGGAGCCCAGAGCCUGAAUCAGCAUGUGUGUUAGUGGAAGCGUCUGGAAAGGCGCGCGAUACAGGGUGACAGCCCCGUACACAAAAGCGCAUGUGCUGUGAGCUCGAUGAGUAGGGCGGGACACGUGGUAUCCUGUCUGAAUAUGGGGGGACCAUCCUCCAAGGCUAAAUACUCCUGACUGACCGAUAGUGAACCAGUACCGUGAGGGAAAGGCGAAAAGAACCCCGGCGAGGGGAGUGAAAAAGAACCUGAAACCGUGUACGUACAAGCAGUGGGAGCACCCUUCGGGGUGUGACUGCGUACCUUUUGUAUAA